Molecule: ribosomal RNA, 253 nt
Filed under: uncultured bacterium
Lineage: Bacteria
Description: partial 16S ribosomal RNA
Rfam family: Bacterial small subunit ribosomal RNA
Source: RNAcentral
UACAGAGGGUGCAAGCGUUAUUCGGAAUUAUUGGGCGUAAAGCGCAUGUAGGUGGUUAGGUAAGUCUGGUGUGAAAGCCCAGAACUCAAUUCUGGAAGUGCAUUGGAUACUGCCUGACUAGAGUACAGGAGGGGAGAACGGAAUUCCUGGUGUAGAGGUGAAAUUCGUAGAUAUCAGGAGGAACAACGGUGGCGAAGGCGGUUCUCUGGACUGUAACUGACACUAAGGUGCGAAAGCGUGGGGAGCAAACAGG